RNAcentral lists this ribosomal RNA (1531 nucleotides) under Lactiplantibacillus pentosus. RNAcentral's name for it is "bacterial SSU rRNA". It matches the Rfam family "Bacterial small subunit ribosomal RNA". The record is from RNAcentral. Lineage: Bacteria; Bacillati; Bacillota; Bacilli; Lactobacillales; Lactobacillaceae.
GAGUUUGAUCCUGGCUCAGGACGAACGCUGGCGGCGUGCCUAAUACAUGCAAGUCGAACGAACUCUGGUAUUGAUUGGUGCUUGCAUCAUGAUUUACAUUUGAGUGAGUGGCGAACUGGUGAGUAACACGUGGGAAACCUGCCCAGAAGCGGGGGAUAACACCUGGAAACAGAUGCUAAUACCGCAUAACAACUUGGACCGCAUGGUCCGAGUUUGAAAGAUGGCUUCGGCUAUCACUUUUGGAUGGUCCCGCGGCGUAUUAGCUAGAUGGUGAGGUAACGGCUCACCAUGGCAAUGAUACGUAGCCGACCUGAGAGGGUAAUCGGCCACAUUGGGACUGAGACACGGCCCAAACUCCUACGGGAGGCAGCAGUAGGGAAUCUUCCACAAUGGACGAAAGUCUGAUGGAGCAACGCCGCGUGAGUGAAGAAGGGUUUCGGCUCGUAAAACUCUGUUGUUAAAGAAGAACAUAUCUGAGAGUAACUGUUCAGGUAUUGACGGUAUUUAACCAGAAAGCCACGGCUAACUACGUGCCAGCAGCCGCGGUAAUACGUAGGUGGCAAGCGUUGUCCGGAUUUAUUGGGCGUAAAGCGAGCGCAGGCGGUUUUUUAAGUCUGAUGUGAAAGCCUUCGGCUCAACCGAAGAAGUGCAUCGGAAACUGGGAAACUUGAGUGCAGAAGAGGACAGUGGAACUCCAUGUGUAGCGGUGAAAUGCGUAGAUAUAUGGAAGAACACCAGUGGCGAAGGCGGCUGUCUGGUCUGUAACUGACGCUGAGGCUCGAAAGUAUGGGUAGCAAACAGGAUUAGAUACCCUGGUAGUCCAUACCGUAAACGAUGAAUGCUAAGUGUUGGAGGGUUUCCGCCCUUCAGUGCUGCAGCUAACGCAUUAAGCAUUCCGCCUGGGGAGUACGGCCGCAAGGCUGAAACUCAAAGGAAUUGACGGGGGCCCGCACAAGCGGUGGAGCAUGUGGUUUAAUUCGAAGCUACGCGAAGAACCUUACCAGGUCUUGACAUACUAUGCAAAUCUAAGAGAUUAGACGUUCCCUUCGGGGACAUGGAUACAGGUGGUGCAUGGUUGUCGUCAGCUCGUGUCGUGAGAUGUUGGGUUAAGUCCCGCAACGAGCGCAACCCUUAUUAUCAGUUGCCAGCAUUAAGUUGGGCACUCUGGUGAGACUGCCGGUGACAAACCGGAGGAAGGUGGGGAUGACGUCAAAUCAUCAUGCCCCUUAUGACCUGGGCUACACACGUGCUACAAUGGAUGGUACAACGAGUUGCGAACUCGCGAGAGUAAGCUAAUCUCUUAAAGCCAUUCUCAGUUCGGAUUGUAGGCUGCAACUCGCCUACAUGAAGUCGGAAUCGCUAGUAAUCGCGGAUCAGCAUGCCGCGGUGAAUACGUUCCCGGGCCUUGUACACACCGCCCGUCACACCAUGAGAGUUUGUAACACCCAAAGUCGGUGGGGUAACCUUUUAGGAACCAGCCGCCUAAGGUGGGACAGAUGAUUAGGGUGAAGUCGUAACAAGGUAGCCGUAG